RNAcentral lists this ribosomal RNA (374 nucleotides) under uncultured eukaryote. RNAcentral describes it as "partial 18S ribosomal RNA". It matches the Rfam family "Eukaryotic small subunit ribosomal RNA", at positions 592 to 976 of the family's 1831-position model. The record is from RNAcentral.
UAAUAGCGUAUACUUAAGUUGUUGCAGUUAAAAAGCUCGUAGUCGGAUGUCGGGCUCGGGCAGGCUGUCGGCUUCGGUCGGACGGCAGGCUCGGGUCUUUCUGCCUGAGGAACCCGUUGCACUUAAUUGGGCGGCGUGGGGACGCAGGCCGUUUACUUUGAAAAAAUUAGAGUGUUUAAAGCAGGCCUACGCUUGAAUACAUUAGCAUGGAAUAAUGGAAUAGGACUUUGGUGCUAUUUUGUUGGUUUAUGGGACCGAAGUAAUGAUUAACAGGGACAGUUGGGGCCGUUUAUAUUUCGUUGUCAGAGGUGAAAUUCUUGGAUUUACGAAAGAUAAACUUCUGCGAAAGCAUUCGGCAAGGAUGUUUUCAUUGA